AUGAACGCUGGCGGCGUGCCUAAUACAUGCAAGUCGAGCGAACGGACGAGGAGCUUGCUCCUUUGACGUUAGCGGCGGACGGGUGAGUAACACGUGGAUAACCUACCUAUAAGACUGGGAUAACUUCGGGAAACCGGAGCUAAUACCGGAUAAUAUAUUGAACCGCAUGGUUCAAUAGUGAAAGACGGUUUUGCUGUCACUUAUAGAUGGAUCCGCGCCGCAUUAGCUAGUUGGUAAGGUAACGGCUUACCAAGGCAACGAUGCGUAGCCGACCUGAGAGGGUGAUCGGCCACACUGGAACUGAGACACGGUCCAGACUCCUACGGGAGGCAGCAGUAGGGAAUCUUCCGCAAUGGGCGAAAGCCUGACGGAGCAACGCCGCGUGAGUGAUGAAGGUCUUCGGAUCGUAAAACUCUGUUAUUAGGGAAGAACAAAUGUGCAAGUAACUAUGCACGUCUUGACGGUACCUAAUCAGAAAGCCACGGCUAACUACGUG
RNAcentral lists this ribosomal RNA (496 nucleotides) under uncultured bacterium. RNAcentral describes it as "partial 16S ribosomal RNA". It matches the Rfam family "Bacterial small subunit ribosomal RNA", at positions 29 to 507 of the family's 1533-position model. The record is from RNAcentral.